This 774-nucleotide ribosomal RNA is filed under the name uncultured Neocallimastigales. RNAcentral's name for it is "partial large subunit ribosomal RNA". It matches the Rfam family "Eukaryotic large subunit ribosomal RNA", at positions 20 to 649 of the family's 3401-position model. Lineage: Eukaryota; Fungi; Neocallimastigomycota; Neocallimastigomycetes; Neocallimastigales. The record is from RNAcentral.
UACUAGAGUAGCACUCGCAUAUCAAUAAGCGGAGGAAAAGAAACUAACAAGGAUUCCCCUAGUAACGGCGAGUGAAGCGGGAAGAGCUCAAAUUUGAAAUCUUAAAGGGUUUCCCUUUACGAAUUGUAGUUUAAAGAAGUGUUUUCUGUUGAGGUUUUGGUAAAAGUUCUUUGGAAUAGGACAUCAUAGAGGGUGAGAAUCCCGUAUUUGACCUUUACUUUCAACUUUGUGAUACACUUUCAAAGAGUCGGAUUGUUUGGGAAUGCAGUCCAAAAUGGGUGGUAAAUUUCAUCUAAAGCUAAAUAUUGGCGAGAGACCGAUAGCGAACAAGUACCGUGAGGGAAAGAUGAAAAGAACUUUGAAAAGAGAGUUAAACAGUACGUGAAAUUGUCAAAAGGGAAGCGUUUGACACCAGUGUUGUUUUUCUGAAAAUCAAUUAAAGAACUGUUUAUGCUAAGUUGUUUAGACUUUAUCAGCUAUCUGCUUAGUUUUGAGCUUUUCUUUAAUGCACUUUUCAGUUAACAAGUCAACAUCAAUUUCUUUUGCUGUAAAAAAGCUUGAGGGAGGUGGCUUGAGAUUCGUCUUAAGUGUUUAUAGCCUCUUGCCUAUGCAGUCGGAGAGAUUGAGGUCUGCAGCGUAGAUCCUUCGGGGCUAAAUGCAUUUGUGCUAAGUUAUAGCAUUUUAUAGACAACUUGUUGACUAUGAUUUGUCUUGUAGCUUACUCGCUUAUGUUAUUUUACCUACGCUUAGGAUGUUGAGUAGCGACAUACGCAC